UUUGAAAUCCGGCCCCCUCGGGGCCCGAGUUGUAAUCUGCAGAUGGGUCUUCCGGUUAGGCGCACGCCCGAGUUCCCUGGAAUGGGACGCCGCAGAGGGUGAGAGCCCCGUACUGGCGGCGCGCCGAGCCACCACGAUGCCCAUUCGACGAGUCGAGUAGUUUGGGAAAUGCUGCUCCAAUCGCGGGGUAAAUCUCCCGUAAGGCUAAAUACCGGCCGGAGACCGAUAGCGAACAAGUAGCGUGAGCGAAAGAUGAAAAGAGCCUUGGAUAAGGGCGUCAAAAAGCAUGUGAAAUUGCUAUGGGGGAAGCGCUCGUCGCCAGACUCGGCGGCGGCCGGUUACCCGGCGUUCUCGCCGGCGCACUCGGACCGCCGCCGGGCCAGUACCGGCUGGCCGCCCGGCUCACUGCCGCGGGGAACGUGACUCCCUCCGGGGAGUGUUAUAGCCCCGCGGCGACGCCGGCCGGCCGGCCGAGGACCGCGCGCAAGCGAGGGUACUGGCAUAAUGGCGCCCAGCGACCCGUCUUGAAACACGGACCAAGGAGUUGACCUGCCCUGCGAGUGUACGGGUGCAAAGCCCCUGCGCGCAGUGAAAGCGAACGCUGGUGGGAGCCCUCGGGCGCACCAUCGACCGAUCCUGAAGUUCGCGGAUGGAUUUGAGUAGGAGCGGGGCGGGUCUGACCCGAAAGAAGGUGAACUAUGCAUGAAUAGGGUGAAGCCAGAGGAAACUCUGGUGGAGGCUCGCAGCGGUUCUGACGUGCAAAUCGAUCGUCAAAUUUGUGGCAUGGGGGCGAAAGACCAAUCGACCUUCUAGUAGCUGGU
RNAcentral lists this ribosomal RNA (821 nucleotides) under Savoryella verrucosa. Its description in RNAcentral is "eukaryotic LSU rRNA". It matches the Rfam family "Eukaryotic large subunit ribosomal RNA", at positions 114 to 955 of the family's 3401-position model. Lineage: Eukaryota; Fungi; Ascomycota; Sordariomycetes; Savoryellales; Savoryellaceae. The record is from RNAcentral.